GUGGGGAAUAUUGCACAAUGGGCGAAAGCCUGAUGCAGCAACGCCGCGUGAAGGAUGAAGGCCUUUGGGUCGUAAACUUCUGUCCUUGGGGAAGAAAAAAAUGACGGUACCCCUGGAGGAAGUCCCGGCUAACUACGUGCCAGCAGCCGCGGUAAUACGUAGGGGGCGAGCGUUAUCCGGAAUUAUUGGGCGGAAAGAGUACGUAGGGGGUUUUUUAAGCGCAGGGUUUAAGGCGAUGGCUCAACUGUCGUUCGCCCUGUGAACUGGAAGACUUGAGUACAGGAGAGGAAAGCGGAAUUCCUAGUGUAGCGGUGAAAUGCAUAGAUAUUAGGAGGAACACCAGUGGCGAAGGCGGCUUUCUGGACUGUAACUGACACUGAGGUACGAAAGCGUGGGGAGCAAACAGGAUUAGAAACCCCUGUAGUCC
Molecule: ribosomal RNA, 427 nt
Filed under: uncultured bacterium
Lineage: Bacteria
Description: partial 16S ribosomal RNA
Rfam family: Bacterial small subunit ribosomal RNA
Source: RNAcentral